GUAGAUAUAUGGAAGAACACCAGUUGCGAAGGCGGGAACUUGGGCCACAACUGACGCUUAGGCUCGAAAGUGUGGGGAGCAAAUAGGAUUAGAUACCCUAGUAGUCCACACCGUAAACGAUGGGUGUUAAACGUCGGGAUUUAAUCUCGGUGUUGUAGUUAACACAUUAAACACCCUGCCUGGGUAGUACAUUCGCAAGAAUGAAACUCAAACGGAAUUGACGGGGACCCGCACAAGUGGUGGAGCAUGUUGUUUAAUUCGACGAUACACGUAGAACCUUACCUAGACUUGACAUCCUUGGCGAAGUUAUAGAAAUAUAAUGGAGGUUAACCGAGAGACAGGUGGUGCAUGGUUGUCGUCAGCUCGUGUCGUGAGAUGUUGGGUUAAGUCCCGCAACGAGCGCAACCCUUAUCGUUAGUUAUUUUGUCUAACGAGACUGCCAACG
RNAcentral lists this ribosomal RNA (445 nucleotides) under uncultured Ureaplasma sp. RNAcentral describes it as "bacterial SSU rRNA". It matches the Rfam family "Bacterial small subunit ribosomal RNA", at positions 690 to 1157 of the family's 1533-position model. The record is from RNAcentral. Lineage: Bacteria; Bacillati; Mycoplasmatota; Mycoplasmoidales; Mycoplasmoidaceae.